Molecule: long non-coding RNA, 1759 nt
Filed under: Salmo salar (Atlantic salmon)
Lineage: Eukaryota; Metazoa; Chordata; Actinopteri; Salmoniformes; Salmonidae
Description: lncRNA (ENSSSAG00000109938.1)
Source: RNAcentral
AUCUGGCACCUGAUGUGGCGGUUCGCGUCAGGUGUCACCACUGAGAGCCACCAGCUCUACGGUCCCUUCAUGCGGCAGCUGUCAGUCUGCAUCUUUGAGUGGGAUGCAGGCGAUGUCCGCAGACUGCUGGAGGCCAAGAGGUCUGAGCUGGAGGGGAAGCACGGGAUGGUCGGCCUCACCGAGGCUUCGAGGAAGAUCGGCAGGAAGGAGAUGGCGCUUCACUGUCGGCGUCGUACGCGUAGAGCUGCGGCGACCUAAUUCUUUCUCCUUGACCUCCUCGAGACCUUCAACGGCGAGAAGGGGGUCGACACCCUGGGCAUCCCGUUGCUGGACUCAAUCCGCAUCCAGGAAAUCUGGAAAGAGCAGAGGCGCCACCUCCACUGCAUACAGGACCCACCCGGUGUACAGCUGUACACCGAGACUGGCAAAAUCACCAAGGGCAGCGUGAUUUUGCCGGUUUAUCGCUGCGCACCGGGCUCCACAUCCUUGGAGUCAUUCCACCUCCACCGGUUCAUCCCAGGUACCAGGGCAAAUGCAAUGCAUUUCCAGGCAUUCCUGUUGGAUGGACUGGUGAGGUGGAACGAGGACCGUGCGCAGACAGCAGUGGAGGGAAAGAACAGGCAGCCCCUGCUCUCCUACAGUGGCCACCUGCAGCACAUCCUUAACCUUAGCAGCCAAAAAGUGCUUGGCAAGGAACAGGGUAAGGACUACACCAAGCCUAGCAAGUACACGGGGGAACUCCUCGGAGUGGAGUACCUGUACUCGCAGACUGGCAGAGUGCUGCAGGAUGUCAGCGCGGACCCUGACCUUCCGGAAGAGGCAGCCGCCGUUGUGCAGCUCGACGAGGAGGACGAGGGCUUUCAGGAGGAUGUGGACCAGACAGUCCACAUCUCUCAUGUCACUCCCAUGAUCGCCCCGUCCUCCAGCUCAGCGGCACCUCUGUCAGGGGAACCCGCUGACACACUCAGGUCUGGGCCAUCCAGUCCCACCGCCCCUGAAGACGGAAGCUCUCCUGAGGCCCCUGAUCAACACGGUUCUCCUCACCCUGAACACUCCUCUGAUUCAGAGGGGGAGACUCAAGGCCCUGAUGCAAUGCCGGGCUACCAGCAUGUCCGCAGGCUUGCCAGGGCCUUGGUGGAGGUGAGGAGCCGUCAGGGGCUGUCGGACCGCAGGGUAGACGGUCUGGUGGCGCUGUGGCUGGCGCUGCCAGACUUUGACAAGCAACGUUUGAUCUACCCUGCCCGACACCAGGAGAGGAUCGUUCAAGGGCGGUUCAAGGCAUCGAAGGGGAAGUCGUCCAUUAUCCUAGGAAAAGACUCUCUCCAACGUUGCCUUCUCGGACUCAACUCGGGCCCUGCCAAUUGGCCGGGCACCAGCCGUUUGGUGGAGGCAAUUUGCAGUCAGCUCUGCCAAAUCCAUCCCAGCGCCACGCAGUCUGCCGGCGUCAAAAAGAGCAGGUGGGCGCUCAUUCUGGCUGACUACGUGGCCAUCAGGGAGGCAGUGCUGAACAGCCCGAGGUUGAUGGCCCAGACCAACCUUCAGCUCUUUGAGCUGAAUCAAAGGACCAUCAGUCAGUGGUAAGACAUUAACUUAUGGAAGACUUGUUACAUAAAGCCAUGUGACUAAUGACAAUCUGAGUGACAGCUUGCGUUUGUUUUCUCUACCUGUUUCAGGUACUCUCGGCGUCAGAAGGAGAGGGAGAGGAUGGUGCUGCAGCAGGGAUUGGGGCUCGCUGUUGCCCCCAGCGUCACCGCCCAGC